This is a long non-coding RNA of Camellia sinensis, 696 nucleotides long. RefSeq lists it as uncharacterized. The record is from RefSeq and is a predicted model, not a curated record. NCBI's taxonomy places the organism in Eukaryota, Viridiplantae, Streptophyta, Magnoliopsida, Ericales, Theaceae.
UACAAAUAUACCACCUUCAACAAAUUGACUCUCAGCCGUCUUACCUCGCUCGCCUCAGCCGUCUUACCUCUCUCGCCUCAUCCCUCUGAUUCAGUCACUCUUGCUUCAUCUCUCUCCCCUCUCUGGCCUCAUCCCUCUUAUUCACUCACUCUCGCCUCUCUCCUCUCUAUCUCUUCACUCUCGCCUCUCUCACCUGUCUCUUGAAGGAGUACGAAGGACGACAAUACGGUGGACGAAGGACGAUGAGACGGUGGACGAAUGACGUGGGAGGACGACUGAGAACGACGAAUGACGACGGAGGACGAACGACAGCCUGCGAUAUGAGAGCACGAACGAACACUGCAAUUACUUCAGGUUCGCAGAUGAUGACGACGACGACGUUAUCUCCACAAUCCGUGCCAAUGCUGGACCUCAGACAGAUUCAAGAACAGAAGAAAUUAAUGAUCUAGCGAGAAGGUUUGGUGAGAUGGACAACCCAGUUCAUGAGCAUGACAGAAGGCUUCAAAGGAUGGAGAAAAUUUUGAAGGAAAUGACUUAUGUCAUUGUAUUUUGUGUAUUUUUUUACUUUAUCAUGUAAAUGAAUCAGUUGUUAGGUUUUCGACAAUGUCAUGAAUGUAAUCAGUACUUCUUUUGUAUGAUAUUUUGUAUUUUGUAAUUUGUAAUCAAUACUGCCUACCAUCUUUAUUUUGUAUUUUA